UAAAAUAGUGGAAAACACCAAAGGAUUGCAGGUAUUUUCGUGGAGUGGUUGUUGAUAUUAUCGUUCUGGCUAUUAUGUGGGCAUGCAAAUUGGAGGUAGAUUAGUAUGGAAUUAUCGAGGAGAAUAAAAUGAGCACUUAGGGACUGUGAAUGGAAACAAUUAAGCUGAACAUAGGUUGAAGAGUGAGGAAAAAUAUCCUAAAAAAGGUAAACCAGAAUGUGAAAGAUGGAACUAUAAAUGGUAAGGUUAAUAACCAAGGAUAUGUAGCAAAUGGUU
RNAcentral lists this long non-coding RNA (276 nucleotides) under Carica papaya (papaya). Its description in RNAcentral is "long non-coding RNA (CPAP_LNC001835)". Lineage: Eukaryota; Viridiplantae; Streptophyta; Magnoliopsida; Brassicales; Caricaceae. The record is from RNAcentral.